This 252-nucleotide ribosomal RNA is filed under the name uncultured bacterium. RNAcentral's name for it is "partial 16S ribosomal RNA". It matches the Rfam family "Bacterial small subunit ribosomal RNA", at positions 524 to 776 of the family's 1533-position model. The record is from RNAcentral.
UACGGAGGGGACUAGCGUUGUUCGGAAUUACUGGGCGUAAAGCGCGCGUAGGCGGAUUUGUAAGUCAGGGGUGAAAUCCCGGGGCUCAACCUCGGAACUGCCUUUGAUACUGCAAAUCUCGAGUCCGGAAGAGGUGAGUGGAAUUCCUAGUGUAGAGGUGAAAUUCGUAGAUAUUAGGAAGAACACCAGUGGCGAAGGCGGCUCACUGGUCCGGUACUGACGCUGAGGUGCGAAAGCGUGGGAGCAAACAGG